GCCGAGGUGUUGGAAUUGGUAUACAAUGGGGAUUUAAAAUCCCCUGCCCGCAAGGGCGUGAGGGUUCGAGUCCCUCCCUCGGCACCA
This 87-nucleotide transfer RNA is filed under the name Candidatus Omnitrophota bacterium. Its description in RNAcentral is "Candidatus Omnitrophica bacterium tRNA-Leu". It matches the Rfam family "tRNA". Rfam says of the family: Transfer RNA (tRNA) molecules are approximately 80 nucleotides in length. Their secondary structure includes four short double-helical elements and three loops (D, anti-codon, and T loops). The record is from RNAcentral. Lineage: Bacteria; Pseudomonadati; Candidatus Omnitrophota.